UCCGNAUUUAUUGGGCGUAAAGCGAGCGCAGGCGNUUUGAUAAGUCUGAAGUUAAAGGCUGUGGCUCAACCAUAGUUCGCUUUGGAAACUGUCAAACUUGAGUGCAGAAGGGGAGAGUGGAAUUCCAUGUGUAGCGGUGAAAUGCGUAGAUAUAUGGAGGAACACCGGUGGCGAAAGCGGCUCUCUGGUCUGUAACUGACGCUGAGGCUCGAAAGCGUGGGGAGCGAACAGGAUUAGAUACCCUGGUAGUNCACGCCGUAAACGAUGAGUGCUAGGUGUUGGGUCCUUUCCGGGAUUCAGUGCCGCAGCUAACGCAUUAAGCACUCCGCCUGGGGAGUACGACCGCAAGGUUGAAACUCAAAGGAAUUGACGGGGGCCCGCACAAGCGGUGGAGCAUGUGGUUUAAUUCGAAGCAACGCGAAGAACCUUACCAGGUCUUGACAUCCCGAUGCUAUUUCUAGAGAUAGGAAGUUACUUCGGUACAUCGGUGACAGGUGGUGCAUGGUUGUCGUCAGCUCGUGUCGUGAGAUGUNNNNNNAANUCCCGCAACGAGCGCAACCCCUAUUGUUAGUUGCCAUCAUUCAGUUGGGCACUCUAGCGAGACUGCCGGUAAUAAACCGGAGGAAGGUGGGGAUGACGUCAAAUCAUCAUGCCCCUUAUGACCUGGGCUACACACGUGCUACAAUGGUUGGUACAACGAGUUGCGUGUCGGUGACGGCGAGCUAAUCUCUUAAAGCCAAUCUCAGUUCGGAUUGUAGGCUGCAACUCGCCUACAUGAAGUCGGAAUCGCUAGUAAUCGCGGAUCAGCACGCCGCGGUGAAUACGUUCCCGGNC
Molecule: ribosomal RNA, 834 nt
Filed under: uncultured bacterium
Lineage: Bacteria
Description: bacterial SSU rRNA
Rfam family: Bacterial small subunit ribosomal RNA
Source: RNAcentral